GAUGAACGCUGGCGGCGUGCCUAAUACAUGCAAGUAGAACGCUGAAGGAGGAGCUUGCUCUUCUGGAUGAGUUGUGAACGGGUGAGUAACGCGUAGGUAACCUGCCUGGUAGCGGGGGAUAACUAUUGGAAACGAUAGCUAAUACCGCAUGACAACAGUUAUUGCAUGAUAACUGUUUAAAAGGGGCAACUGCUCCACUACCAGAUGGACCUGCGUUGUAUUAGCUAGUUGGUGAGGUAACGGCUCACCAAGGCGACGAUACAUAGCCGACCUGAGAGGGGGAUCGGCCACACUGGGACUGAGACACGGCCCAGACUCCUACGGGAGGCAGCAGGAGGGAAUCUUCGGCAAUGGACGGAAGUCUGACCGAGCAACGCCGCGUGAGUGAAGAAGGUUUUCGGAUCGUAAAGCUCUGUUGUAAGGGAAGAACGAGUGUGAGAGUGGAAAGUUCACACUGUGACGGUAUCUUACCAGAAAGGGACGGCUAACUACGUG
RNAcentral lists this ribosomal RNA (495 nucleotides) under uncultured bacterium. Its description in RNAcentral is "partial 16S ribosomal RNA". It matches the Rfam family "Bacterial small subunit ribosomal RNA", at positions 28 to 507 of the family's 1533-position model. The record is from RNAcentral.